This 478-nucleotide ribosomal RNA is filed under the name uncultured bacterium. RNAcentral's name for it is "bacterial SSU rRNA". It matches the Rfam family "Bacterial small subunit ribosomal RNA", at positions 30 to 483 of the family's 1533-position model. The record is from RNAcentral.
AGUGAACGCUGGCGGCAGGCCUAACACAUGCAAGUCGAGCGGCAGCGCGUCCGACCACCCUCGGGUGGUCGGAUGGCGGCGAGCGGCGGACGGGUGAGGAAUGCAUCGGAAUCUGCCUCGUUGUGGGGGAUAACGUAGGGAAACUUACGCUAAUACCGCAUACGACCUACGGGUGAAAGUGGGGGACCUUCGGGCCUCACGCGAUGAGAUGAGCCGAUGCCGGAUUAGCUAGUUGGCGGGGUAAAGGCCCACCAAGGCGACGAUCCGUAGCUGGUCUGAGAGGAUGAUCAGCCACACUGGAACUGAGACACGGUCCAGACUCCUACGGGAGGCAGCAGUGGGGAAUUUUGGACAAUGGGCGCAAGCCUGAUCCAGCCAUGCCGCGUGCGGGACGAAGGCCUCGGUUGUAACCGACUUCUAGCCGGAACGAAAUACGCCAACGGCGUAAUAAUCCUUCGGUGGAGUGACGGUACCGGAA